UCAAAGCAACCAUCAUCUUCUAAAAACAUUAAAACGGAGAAGCUGUCAUACCUGCCACAAAAGCCUGAAGAGUAACCUGUUGUUAAGGUCAGUUGGAAAACCAGCUGGCCAGAACACAACCUAUCUGUUGUAUACCUACAGAUUCUGAGCUGGAAGGGGCAGUUGGGCAAUGAUUAGAUUAGGUGAGCUCAUUGCUUCUAUCAGAUGAAAUUGCCUUUUUCAAAGGAUUACAGCAAAAAGUUGCAUUUGUGACUUAUGUGAGGACUUUAAUCAAAUUAAUAACUCAUUUGGGAUUGGAACAUAUGCUUUAAUACUAGACUGAAAUUUCCUGAACCAAAAUUGAAGGAGUUGUAGCAGUUUCUGAAGAGCUAAUACAUUUGCUUAGCCAGUGCAGAUUUUUUAAACUUUUAAGUAUGGGAGUAGCAUACUAAGAUAAAUAGCCGUACAAGUAUCUGUAAUCUACUUCCUAAAUAUAGUUUUAUUUACUAAUGAUCAUUCAGAACUUUCCUGUCGAGGAAAGAGCUGCUAGCAAUAGUAGAACGAGAACUGGAAGGACUUAGGUAUCAUCUGGGUGGAAAAGAGUAAGAGAAGUUACAGGUAACUCGCAUAGGUGCUUUUGCCACAAUAUCACGGAAAUUAAAGAGGAGAUCAGGGCAGCAUGGGUGGUUCAACGAUAAUAGCGCCACCUUCAGCCCAGGGUGUGACCCUGGAGCCCCGGGAUCGAGUCCCACGUCAGGCUACCUGCAUGGAGCCUGCUUCUCUCUCUGCCUCUCUCUCUCUCUCGUGUCCCUCCUGAAUAAACAAAUAAAAUCUUAAAAAAAAAUAAAAAUAAAAAUAAUUUUAACAAAAUAAAGAUGAGACUGUCUCUUCAUAAGAGGAGUGUACUUAUUCACUAGGACCGUAAGCUAGCUGGCAUUAUUCCCACUGGGAAGAGCUUCAGCAUUUGGCAGAGGGUGGGAAUUGAGACCUGAUAUUUCCUGGCCUAGAUAUCUAACCUUUUCCUGGAAGCUUGUUCUUCUGUGUGCCAUCUUAGCGCAUUUCACCACUCCAGCCUCAAGUUUCUAACAUCUUGUAGUUGUGUUCUGUCUCUUCUCUCUCUGUUCUUCCCUGUUUUUCCCCUCUCACAGGCUGUGCGAAGUUUAACUGUGCAUCUGAGCAGGUGACAUUCAAACCUGGUGGCAGGAGGACCCGAUUUCUGAGUACGCCCUGCUUGGCUCUUUGGAAGAUGGUGAAAAAAGUCUGUCCUUGCAACCAGCUCUGUAUGUGCCCUCCAGCAGAGCCGAAAUCAGGCAGGACACAGACCCCUUCUUCCUUUCUCAUCAAACCAUAGAAAUAGAAUUCCUUCAUCAUAACCUCAAAGCUUCCUCCUUCCUUUUGCUCUCCUACCUCAGCUGAAUGUUCCUGUUGCUUCCACAUGCAAGUGCUUGCUCUUUGGGGGGUGAGGGAUGUGUUAGUGAGAAUCCACGAACCAGUUGAAACUGAGGUCAUCUUCAGGAAAACCAUGUCUUCCUGGAGUUGAGUGAUUCAGGCAUACGACAGAGAACCUUGCUCAGGAAUAAUCUUGGUUCUUAACUCAUAGGCAAUUGGGAGAGGUUGAAGCUUCCAUUCCUCCCAAGUUUAUGUUUAUAAAUUUGUGUAUAUGGGUCCAGGUGAAAAAGGUUUUGAACAGAGCAUGCUCUCUCUCCUGUCACCUCUUUCUGUUAAAGAAUGGCUAAAGACUGUGGCACAAUAUCCACAUGGUUUCAGAACCCCAUCUUUUCUGGGCCAAGCAUCUACCUUUGUAUCCCUUUAACACUCCUACUUUUAAUCCUGCCUCGGGGCUCUAGAAAUCCUCUUUUACCCUGCAUUCUGCAGCAGUCUAGAGCCUCAAUAACCUUAACGCACCUCCUUCAUCAACGUGAUGCUGGGAAUAGGGUACUGAAAGUAAGUUUCAGUACUCUGAUACCAUGUGAAUGGGCUGAAAGAGGUCCCUCCACUUUGUGCCCUACCAUUAUCCGGAGUUAUUUAGCGUCAUCCGUAGCUCCUAAAGAGAAUCUGUUUUCAUUACCCUGCCCUGCCCAAACAUGGCUAAACAAACCUAUGGGACCUUCCCUUCUUGCAUGCCUUCUCAGCUUAUCCUCUCCUCAUUCAGUGGCUUGCCAUUUGUCAUCCUGUGAAGUUUUCCCUCUUCCUGAAGUUCUAACUCAAACUCCUUUUAAUGGUUGUAUUCUGUUGCUUC
Long non-coding RNA from Canis lupus familiaris (dog), 2218 nucleotides. RefSeq lists it as uncharacterized. Lineage: Eukaryota; Metazoa; Chordata; Mammalia; Carnivora; Canidae. The record is from RefSeq and is a predicted model, not a curated record. The transcript has 3 exons.